Molecule: non-coding RNA, 24 nt
Filed under: Cricetulus griseus (Chinese hamster)
Lineage: Eukaryota; Metazoa; Chordata; Mammalia; Rodentia; Cricetidae
Source: RNAcentral
AACAGUACAAUGCACUCUCGUGGC